RNAcentral lists this ribosomal RNA (405 nucleotides) under uncultured prokaryote. RNAcentral's name for it is "bacterial SSU rRNA". It matches the Rfam family "Bacterial small subunit ribosomal RNA", at positions 355 to 774 of the family's 1533-position model. The record is from RNAcentral.
UGGGGAAUAUUGGGCAAUGGGCGCAAGCCUGACCCAGCAACGCCGCGUGAGGGAAGAAGGCCUUCGGGUUGUAAACCUCUGUCCCAAGGGACGAAAAAAAUGACGGUACCUUGGGAGGAAGCUCCGGCUAACUACGUGCCAGCAGCCGCGGUAAUACGUAGGGAGCGAGCGUUGUCCGGAAUUACUGGGCGUAAAGGGUGCGUAGGCGGCAUUGCAAGUCAGAUGUGAAAUCCCCGGGCUUAACUCGGGAUCUGCAUUUGAAACUGCAGUGCUUGAGUGCAGGAGAGGAAAGCGGAAUUCCUAGUGUAGCGGUGAAAUGCGUAGAUAUUAGGAGGAACACCAGUGGCGAAGGCGGCUUUCUGGACUGUAACUGACGCUGAGGCACGAAAGCGUGGGGAGCAAACA